Molecule: small RNA, 1870 nt
Filed under: Pan troglodytes (chimpanzee)
Lineage: Eukaryota; Metazoa; Chordata; Mammalia; Primates; Hominidae
Description: processed transcript
Source: RNAcentral
AAUGUCAGUGCCCGCCCCUGCUUACAGGCUGGGGCCAUCUGUAGGCCUGGGCAGGAGGGGUUUGGGGAGACAUGGCCUGCUGUCUGGGAAAAUAUUGAUAACAUGUUCGCAGGAUGAGGCAUUUCUGACCCUUGUUGUGGUGGAACGUGGUGUUCCUUGUACUUUCUCCCAGCAGAAUAUGAUAAGAGGCAGGCUAUUUCUCAUGGCCUGAAUCCCUGUGGAAUAUUUCACUUUAAGCAAGGUCUGUGAAAUGGCGGGGGACUUACAAAAUGGUGCAGAUUGGACUUUCUUGCCUUCUACUUUAAUAUAAAAGAAAGAGGGGCGUUGUUGAUUAUCUGGCUGUUUCCUGUCGAAUUACGGGCACUGUAACCAGGGUUUGGAUUUUGAAGUAGUGGGUGUUCGACUUUAGAGUUGUUUUCCUGGAAGCGCUGAUACUGGACUUAGUGGAGGAGAACGAUGGUAUCAAUGUGUUUCUGGAUGACUGCCUGGACAAGGGAGUUCAGCUUUUGGGAGAUUGACUGGGCUAUGAAGGAUGGUAGAGGACAGUCUUCAGCCUGAGACCCAUCCCUAGUUAUAUCUUCUGGAGAGAUUCCUAGAAGUGGGAUUACUGGCUCAAAAGUGUACCUUUCUACUCUGCAGAGGCUGGAAAGGCAAAAAUGAUGGCUAAGGCUUCCUUGCAGUGGCCGUGCCAUUUUGAAUUUCCACUGGCAUUGAAUGGGAGUCCCUGUUCCACAUCCUUGGCAGCAUUUGUGGUGUUAACGUUUUGGAUUUUAGCCAUCCUCGUAGCCGCUGAUACAGAAGCCUGAGGGAACACACUCCCCCUACGUCCUUCUCCAACACAGCAGAGCCAGGAAGGACCCGGAUGGAAGUUAGGACAAAGAGGCCCAGAAUUGGCACAGAUACCAACAGACCAUUCGUUGAAGAAGAAAUCCAAAUGGCCAUAAGAACCCCAGAGAUGAAAGGCCUCCUCCCACUGGCUUGGUUCCUGGCUUGUAGUGUGCCUACUGUGCAAGGAGGCUUGCUGGACCUAAAAUCAAUGAUCGAGAAGGUGACAGGGAAGAACGCCCUGACAAACUACGGCUUCUACGGCUGUUACUGCGGCUGGGGCGGCCGAGGAACCCCCAAGGAUGGCACCGAUUGGUGCUGUUGGGCGCAUGACCACUGCUAUGGGCGGCUGGAGGAGAAGGGCUGCAACAUUCGCACACAGUCCUACAAAUACAGAUUCGCGUGGGGCGUGGUCACCUGCGAGCCCGGGCCCUUCUGCCAUGUGAAGCUCUGUGCCUGUGACCGGAAGCUCGUCUACUGCCUCAAGAGAAACCUACGGAGCUACAACCCACAGUACCAAUACUUUCCCAACAUCCUCUGCUCCUAGGCCUCCCCAGCGAGCUCCUCCCAGACCAAGACUUUUGUUCUGUUUUUCUACAACACAGAGUACUGACUCUGCCUGGUUCCUGAGAGAGGCUCCUAAGUCACAGACCUCAGUCUUUCUUGAAGCUUGGCGGACCCCCAGGGCCACACUGUACCCUCCAGCGAGUCCCAGGAGAGUGACUCUGGUCAUAGGACUUGGUAGGGUCCCAGGGUCCCUAGGCCUCCACUUCUGAGGGCAGCCCCUCUGGUGCCAAGAGCUCUCCUCCAACUCAGGGUUGGCUGUGUCUCUUUUCUUCUCUGAAGACAGCGUCCUGGCUCCAGUUGGAACACUUUCCUGAGAUGCACUUACUUCUCAGCUUCUGCGAUCAGAUUAUCAUCACCACCACCCUCCAGAGAAUUUUUACGCAAGAAGAGCCAAAUUGACUCUUUAAAUCUGGUGUAUGGGUAUUAAAUAAAAUUCAUUCUCAAGGCUAAUAAAAACCACAUUGGCAUUUUCCUCUGC